GAGACCCACGCCCACAGUUGCCAGCGUACUCUCCGGARUGACGGGUACACUGUGGGGACCGCCGCUGCUAAAGCGGAGGAAGGAAUGGGCAACGGUAGGUCAGUAUGCCCCGAAUACCCCGGGCUACACGCGAGCUACAAUGGCUGGUACAAUGGGUAUCUACCCCGAAAGGGGAUGGAAAUCUCCUAAAGCCAGUCUCAGUUCGGAUUGGGGGCUGCAACUCGCCCCCAUGAAGCUGGAAUCCGUAGUAAUCGCAUAUCAACAGUAUGCGGUGAAUAC
RNAcentral lists this ribosomal RNA (279 nucleotides) under uncultured archaeon. Its description in RNAcentral is "partial 16S ribosomal RNA". It matches the Rfam family "Archaeal small subunit ribosomal RNA", at positions 1047 to 1324 of the family's 1478-position model. The record is from RNAcentral.